ACCAGGUGCAGUGGCACGUGCCUAUAGUCCCAGCUACUCGGGAGGCUGAGGUGGGAGAAUCACUUGAGCACAGGAGUUCUGGGCUGUAGUGCACUAUGCCAAUCGGGUGUCCGCACUAAGUUCAGCAUCAAUACGGUGACCUGGGAGUGGGGGACCACCAGGUUGCCUAAGGAGGGAUGAACCGGCCUAGGUCAGAAAUGGAGCAGGUCAAAACCUCCGUGCUGAUCAGUAGUGGGAUCGCACCUAUGAAGAGCCACUGCACUCUAGCCUGGGCAACAUAGCGAGAUCCCGUCUCU
RNAcentral lists this signal recognition particle RNA (296 nucleotides) under Cebus imitator (Panamanian white-faced capuchin). RNAcentral's name for it is "Metazoan signal recognition particle RNA (ENSCCAG00000009312.1)". It matches the Rfam family "Metazoan signal recognition particle RNA". From Rfam's summary of the family: The signal recognition particle (SRP) is a universally conserved ribonucleoprotein. It is involved in the co-translational targeting of proteins to membranes. Lineage: Eukaryota; Metazoa; Chordata; Mammalia; Primates; Cebidae. The record is from RNAcentral.